UAUCAUUAACUGAAUCCAUAGGUUAAUGAGGCGAACCGGGGGAACUGAAACAUCUAAGUACCCCGAGGAAAAGAAAUCAACCGAGAUUCCCCCAGUAGCGGCGAGCGAACGGGGAGGAGCCCAGAGCCUGAAUCAGCAUGUGUGUUAGUGGAAGCGUCUGGAAAGGCGCGCGAUACAGGGUGACAGCCCCGUACACAAAAGCGCAUGUGCUGUGAGCUCGAUGAGUAGGGCGGGACACGUGGUAUCCUGUCUGAAUAUGGGGGGACCAUCCUCCAAGGCUAAAUACUCCUGACUGACCGAUAGUGAACCAGUACCGUGAGGGAAAGGCGAAAAGAACCCCGGCGAGGGGAGUGAAAAAGAACCUGAAACCGUGUACGUACAAGCAGUGGGAGCACAGGUUUACCUGUGUGACUGCGUACCUUUUGUAUAAUGGGUCAGCGACUUAUAUUCUGUAGCAAGGUUAACCGUAUAGGGGAGCCGUAGGGAAACCGAGUCUUAAC
Molecule: ribosomal RNA, 500 nt
Filed under: Salmonella enterica subsp. enterica serovar Typhimurium
Lineage: Bacteria; Pseudomonadati; Pseudomonadota; Gammaproteobacteria; Enterobacterales; Enterobacteriaceae
Description: partial 23S ribosomal RNA
Rfam family: Bacterial large subunit ribosomal RNA
Source: RNAcentral